Podospora conica is the source of this 116-nucleotide non-coding RNA. NCBI's taxonomy places the organism in Eukaryota, Fungi, Ascomycota, Sordariomycetes, Sordariales, Podosporaceae. The record is from the annotation of a GenBank genome assembly.
GGCACUUUGGCGGAGUGGUUAACGCGCUUCCCUGCUAUUUCACCCUGCGGCUUCGGCCCCACGAGUCAUGAAAGGAAGUCCCUUCGGGGGCGCAGAUUCGAAUUCUGCAGGUGUCG